GACGAACGCUGGCGGCGUGCUUAACACAUGCAAGUCGAACGGGCUACUCUCUUCGGGGGGUGGUUAGUGGCGAACGGGUGAGUAACACGUGGGUAACCUGCCCCAGGCUCUGGGAUAACUCCGGGAAACCGGGGCUAAUACCGGAUAUGACCCUGGCCCGCAUGGGCUCGGGGUGGAAAGUUUUUCGGUCUGGGAUGGGCCCGCGGCCUAUCAGCUUGUUGGUGGGGUGAUGGCCUACCAAGGCGGUGACGGGUAGCCGGCCUGAGAGGGCGACCGGCCACACUGGGACUGAGACACGGCCCAGACUCCUGCGGGAGGCAGCAGUGGGGAAUAUUGCGCAAUGGGCGGAAGCCUGACGCAGCGACGCCGCGUGAGGGAUGACGGCCUUCGGGUUGUAAACCUCUUUCAGCCCCGACCAAGGCGGCUUUCGGGUUGUUGAGUGUAGGAGUAGAAGA
RNAcentral lists this ribosomal RNA (455 nucleotides) under bacterium Ellin6004. RNAcentral describes it as "bacterial SSU rRNA". It matches the Rfam family "Bacterial small subunit ribosomal RNA", at positions 28 to 488 of the family's 1533-position model. The record is from RNAcentral. Lineage: Bacteria; Bacillati; Actinomycetota; Actinomycetes.